Molecule: ribosomal RNA, 1343 nt
Filed under: uncultured bacterium
Lineage: Bacteria
Description: 16S ribosomal RNA
Rfam family: Bacterial small subunit ribosomal RNA
Source: RNAcentral
GACGAACGCUGGCGGCGUGCUUAACACAUGCAAGUCGAACGGAAAGGCCCUGCUUUUGUGGGGUGCUCGAGCGGCGAACGGGUGAGUAACACGUGAGUAACCUGCCCUUGACUUUGGGAUAACUUCAGGAAACUGGGGCUAAUACCGGAUAGGAGCUCCUGCUGCAUGGUGGGGGUUGGAAAGUUUCGGCGGUUGGGGAUGGACUCGCGGCUUAUCAGCUUGUUGGUGGGGUAGUGGCUUACCAAGGCUUUGACGGGUAGCCGGCCUGAGAGGGUGACCGGCCACAUUGGGACUGAGAUACGGCCCAGACUCCUACGGGAGGCAGCAGUGGGGAAUAUUGCACAAUGGGCGGAAGCCUGAUGCAGCAACGCCGCGUGCGGGAUGACGGCCUUCGGGUUGUAAACCGCUUUCGCCUGUGACGAAGCGUGAGUGACGGUAAUGGGUAAAGAAGCACCGGCUAACUACGUGCCAGCAGCCGCGGUGAUACGUAGGGUGCGAGCGUUGUCCGGAUUUAUUGGGCGUAAAGGGCUCGUAGGUGGUUGAUCGCGUCGGAAGUGUAAUCUUGGGGCUUAACCCUGAGCGUGCUUUCGAUACGGGUUGACUUGAGGAAGGUAGGGGAGAAUGGAAUUCCUGGUGGAGCGGUGGAAUGCGCAGAUAUCAGGAGGAACACCAGUGGCGAAGGCGGUUCUCUGGGCCUCUCCUGACGCUGAGGAGCGAAAGCGUGGGGAGCGAACAGGCUUAGAUACCCUGGUAGUCCACGCUGUAAACGGUGGGUACUAGGUGUGGGGUCCAUUCCACGGGUUCCGUGCCGUAGCUAACGCUUUAAGUACCCCGCCUGGGGAGUACGGCCGCAAGGCCAAAACUCAAAGGAAUUGACGGGGCCCCGCACAAGCGGCGGAGCAUGCGGAUUAAUUCGAUGCAACGCGUAGAACCUUACCUGGGUUUGACAUGGAUCGGGAGUGCUCAGAGAUGGGUGUGCCUCUUUUGGGGUCGGUUCACAGGUGGUGCAUGGCUGUCGUCAGCUCGUGUCGUGAGAUGUUGGGUUAAGUCCCGCAACGAGCGCAACCCUUGUUCACUGUUGCCAGCACGUUAUGGUGGGGACUCAGUGGAGACCGCCGGGGUCAACUCGGAGGAAGGUGGGGAUGACGUCAAGUCAUCAUGCCCCUUAUGUCCAGGGCUUCACGCAUGCUACAAUGGCUGGUACAGAGAGUGGCGAGCCUGUGAGGGUGAGCGAAUCUCGGAAAGCCGGUCUCAGUUCGGAUUGGGGUCUGCAACUCGACCUCAUGAAGUCGGAGUCGCUAGUAAUCGCAGAUCAGCAACGCUGCGGUGAAUACGUUCCCGGG